This is a long non-coding RNA of Helicoverpa zea (corn earworm), 574 nucleotides long. RefSeq lists it as uncharacterized. NCBI's taxonomy places the organism in Eukaryota, Metazoa, Arthropoda, Insecta, Lepidoptera, Noctuidae. The record is from RefSeq and is a predicted model, not a curated record. The transcript has 2 exons.
GUCAAACGUUUAUUCGCGUUUGUGACGCAUAAAAACACAAAACAGAACAAGCUUUACAUAGAGAACAUGUUUCUUUUUUCAUGAGUUUCUGUUACGAAUUGUUUGUUCUAUUGAGAACAGUGUAUUUGUGAAAAACAAUCUCAAGAGUUCUAUUUUUGUGACGUAUCUAACUUUUUAUAACUGGUAUUUCAGAAGAGAAACCAUUUGAAGAAAAUUGCGGGCUGUGGAGGAAUGCAUGCUGUCUAAAACCAAGAUGGUUGAUGCUCUUUGAUAGAGGAAGAGGACGACCAAAGAUACUAUGGAUGGAUUGUGGGAAAGUCAAUAUGGUAAGAAAGAAUGUUACUUGUGAGAUGACAGCAGAUAGAAGAGUACGGAAGGAGAAUACAUGCUGCGCCGACCACAAUUAAAAUUGGGAUAAGGGCAGGAGGAUGAUGAUGAUGACUUUAACUGAUGAAAACACAUUCACAGUUUUGGCAUUAUCUCCAUACAAGUAAUAUCUAAUUCUUAUCUCUAGUUAGAAAGACAGCAUAGAAAUAGAACAUUGAAAAUGGCAAUUAUAGUAAUUUUAAUUAAU